This 492-nucleotide ribosomal RNA is filed under the name uncultured bacterium. RNAcentral describes it as "partial 16S ribosomal RNA". It matches the Rfam family "Bacterial small subunit ribosomal RNA", at positions 29 to 507 of the family's 1533-position model. The record is from RNAcentral.
AGUGAACGCUGGCGGUAGGCCUAACACAUGCAAGUCGAACGGCAGCACAGUAAGAGCUUGCUCUUACGGGUGGCGAGUGGCGGACGGGUGAGGAAUACAUCGGCAUCUACUUUUUCUUGGGGGAUAACGUAGGGAAACUUACGCUAAUACCUCAUACGACCUACGGGUGAAAUCAGGGGAUCUUCGGACCUUGCGCGAUUGAAUGAGCCGAUGUCGGAUUAGCUAGUUGGCAGGGUAAAGGCCCACCAAGCCGACGAUCCGUAGCUGGUCUGAGAGGAUGAUCAGCCACACUGGAACUGAGACACGGUCCAGACUCCUACGGGAGGCAGCAGUGGGGAAUAUUGGACAAUGGGCGCAAGCCUGAUGCAGCCAUACCGCGUGGGUGAAGAAGGUCUUCGGGUUGUAAAGCCCUUUUGUUGGGAAAGAAAAGCAGCAGGUUAAUACCCCGCUGUUCUGACGGUACCCAAAGAAUAAGCACCGGCUAACUUCGUG